Molecule: ribosomal RNA, 221 nt
Filed under: uncultured bacterium
Lineage: Bacteria
Description: partial 16S ribosomal RNA
Rfam family: Bacterial small subunit ribosomal RNA
Source: RNAcentral
CGACGUGAGGAACCUGCCUUUCAGAGGGGGACAACAGUUGGAAACGAUUGCUAAUACCGCAUGACACAUAGAGAUCGCAUGGUUUUUAUGUCAAAGAUUUAUCGCUGAAAGAUGGCCUCGCGUCUGAUUAGCUAGUUGGUGAGGUAACGGCCCACCAAGGCGACGAUCAGUAGCCGGACUGAGAGGUUGACCGGCCACAUUGGGACUGAGAUACGGCCCAG